UACGUAGGCAGCGAGCGUUGUUCGGAAUUACUGGGCGUAAAGGGUGUGUAGGUGGUGGCGUAAGUUCUGUGUGAAAUCUCCCGGCUUAACCGGGAGGGUGCGCAGAAGACUGCGUCGCUAGAGUAUGGGAGAGGUAAGCGGAAUUUCUGGUGUAGCGGUGAAAUGCGUAGAUAUCAGAAGGAACACCUGUGGUGUAGACGGCUUACUGGACCAUUACUGACACUGAGACACGAAAGCGUGGGUAGCAAACAGG
RNAcentral lists this ribosomal RNA (253 nucleotides) under uncultured bacterium. RNAcentral's name for it is "partial 16S ribosomal RNA". It matches the Rfam family "Bacterial small subunit ribosomal RNA", at positions 524 to 776 of the family's 1533-position model. The record is from RNAcentral.